This 83-nucleotide transfer RNA is filed under the name Burkholderia plantarii. Its description in RNAcentral is "tRNA-Ala". Lineage: Bacteria; Pseudomonadati; Pseudomonadota; Betaproteobacteria; Burkholderiales; Burkholderiaceae. The record is from RNAcentral.
CUCGAAGCUGGUGGCGGGCGGCUCGCCGCGCGCCGGCUUCGCGCGCCGGCUCGCGCGGCCGUUCGGCGAGCGGCUCGCCGAGC